UGUUGAAAUAUAAAACUUAUUACUAGUUAAAAUAAAACUGAACUAACCUACAUACUAGUUAAAAUUGAAUUAUUGUAACGUAAGUUGAAUUGAGUUGUUAUAUAAAUCUAAAAAACAUUGUACCUAAUAUUAUAUUGAAUUUAUAGUUAAUCUAACCAUAAUAUUAAUCAUAUGGUCGACAGAGGAAUAAGUGGUGAAGAAAAACUGAAAAAUUUGUAAGUUCAAUGAAAUCAAAAUUAUAAUUUUGUAAUAUGAGUAUAAAUUAUAGCUAAAGCGUUCACACAACUUGGAUAGUGUCGUGUUUAAGGACGUCUGAGAAAUUCCGGUAACAUUCUUUAGAAAUUUUUCAUCAUAACCUCAAUCGACAUGGAAUAUACAGAUGAAGCUAACCCAACAUCGGAACACAAUUGUAGACUAUGUAAGCGACCAGACAUAGCCGAAGAUAUGGUGGCUUGCGAUGCCUGUCAUUCUUGGUUUCAUUACACUUGCGCUAAUGUUGACACAAAUGUUAAAGACCGCGACUGGCAAUGUGUAUCCUGUGCACCAAAAAACAAAUCCGAUCAGGCGAAAAAUACUGGUGCAAUCAAGAAGCAAUUAAUGGUGCCCAGCGGGACAGACAAAAAAUCAAUCGCAGCCAGUAAAACAAGUUCACGUAGGUCAAAAAAAGUGCUAGUGGACGAAAAAGCUAGCAUAACAUCUAGUGCCCGAGCUCGCUUAGAACUCGAGUUGCAAAUUAUUGAGGAGCAAAAACAGAUUCAGGAGCUUGAACUUGUUUCUGAAAAAGAGCUACGCGAUCGACAGCUGGCUCAAGAAAAGGAGAUGCGAUAUCGGGAGUUGGCGAUAGAACGAAAAAAAAUUGCCGAAGACAAAGCAUUUGCGGAACGGAAGUUAGCAGAGGAGCGACAAUUUCGGAUACAACAAAUGGCCAUUCGGAAACAAUCCAUGGAAGAGAAGGCGAAAGUAGUACGACAGCUAUCACAUCAUGGUAGUAACAGCCGAACCAGCGUAGCCCCUAGUGAACCAGAUUCAGCAGAAAAGGUUACAGAAUGGCUGAAAAACAAUGGGCAGCAGACUGAGGGACUAUUUAAAUCCACGUUAGCACCCACUAAAACCACCAACAAAAACAAUCUGAAACCCGAUGAACGAGUAGCUGGUACAUCAGUAUCGAACGAUAAUGAAAUAUCUGUUAUACAAAAUUGUGAUCUACCAAAGUCGAACGAUGCUACUAAUCCUUUACUCGCAAAAAACAAUAAAAUUAGAAUGAACUCUGUUUACCCCAAUCUCUUUUCCGUUCCACGAGCCCCUCGAAUUUCUAAUAUGCAUAAUUCAUCCCAUUGUGAGGAAGAUAUCAUGAGCCGAAUUGAAAUGAGCGGAGAGUUCGGUCCAAGCAAUCGUCAAAUUGCCGCUCGGCAAGUUAUGGGCAAAGAAUUGCCUGUAUUCAAUGGUGACCCAGAAGAGUGGCCUAUAUGGAUAAGCAAUUUUGAACGCUCUACGGCCACGUGUGGGUUCUCGCUAGAUGAGAAUCUUAUUCGCUUGCAGCGAUGUUUAAAAGGUCAUGCUUUGGAAACGGUUAGAAGUAGACUGCUUUCGCCUGCAAGUGUACCUCAUGUGAUCAAAACAUUACAAAUGCGUUAUGGUCGUCCAGAGACUCUUAUACGAACACUAACUGAAAAAAUACGCACACUCGCAUCGCCCAAAACGAAUGAUAUGGAAAGCAUAAUAGAAUUUGGGAAUGCAGUUGAUAAUCUAGUUGAGCAUUUGAAAAACGCAAAACUGCACGCCCAUUUGAAUAAUCCGUCCCUCUUGCACGAUUUUGUUUCAAAGUUACCAGUUGAGUAUAGAUUACAAUGGUCAGCGUUUAAAAGUUCGAUACAAGUAGUAGAUUUGAGUGCGUUUGGCACAUUUAUGAGCACCAUAGUUGAGCUUGCGUAUGAAGUAGUAGAUGAUAUAUCUACAGAAAAAUUCAGUAAAGCUAAACAGAAAGAUCGAGCAUAUCUACAAACGCACACCGAGUCGCGUACACUCGAAAAUUCUCUUAAAUUUGAAGAGAAUGCUACAGAGCGGAUGCAUCGUAAAGCAUGUCCGGUUUGUAAAUUUGAGCACAGAAUCGUUGACUGCACAGAAUUCAAAUCGAUGACGAUCGAAGACCGUGUGAUGGUCGUACAACAGAAGUCGUUAUGCAGAAUGUGUCUCAAUUACCAUGGCAAGUGGCCCUGCAAAACAUGGAAAGGCUGCGGAAUCGAUGGAUGCCGUUUACGCCACCAUGCUCUCCUGCAUUUUGAUACAGCUCGGUCCGUGAUUUCUACGAGCCAUGUUGACAGGUUUAAAAUUGACAACGGUCCAUUAUUGAGAAUUCUUCCUGUAACUCUUUACGGAAAAACCAAAAAACUCGAUAUAUUUGCUUUCGUCGAUGAAGGUUCGCAAUUAACGCUCUUAGAAGCUGAAAUAGCAAAUCAACUUUCUAUUGAUGGACCCAUCGAACCGUUAAGCCUACAGUGGACGGGCAACGUAAAAAGAAACGAGUCUAGUUCAAAGAGCGUUUGUGUAGAGAUCUCUGGAUCCUCGAGGCGCUUUAAGUUGUCCGGAGCUCGAACGGUUGAAAAUCUGAUGCUUCCUCGUCAAUCUAUGUGCUAUCGAGAAUUAGCAGAUAAAUAUCCACAUCUUCGUGGACUUCCAUUAAACGAUUACAUUGAAACGGCUCCAAAACUUUUAAUUGGACUUGACAAUUUGAAACUCAUCGUACCACUGAAAGUUCGUGAAGGAGGAUGGGGUGAACCAGUAGCGACGAAAUGUCGCUUAGGAUGGAGUGUAUAUGGCUGUUCUCGUGGUGAGGCGUUGCAGUCCAUGUGUGGGUUUCACACUGGUGGCUGUAUCGAUCGAGAUUCCGAGCUUAAUGAACUAGUUCGGGAUUUUUUUGCGAUGGAUAAUGCGAUGACUACAAAUCAACUGAAUUUUCCACAGUCUGAAGAGGAUAUACGAGCUAACUUCAUUUUAGAGAAUACGACAAAACGAUUAUCUACAGGAGGAUAUGAGACAGGGCUUUUGUGGAAAACUGAUGAGAGGUCCUUCCCAAACAGUUAUGGAAUGGCUUACAGGCGUCUCUGCUCGUUAGAGAAAAGAUUAAGUAAGGAUAAAAGUCUGUACGAUAGCGUUCGUCAACAAAUCCGGGAGUAUCAAGAUAAAGAAUACGCUAGUUUAGUUAAUGAAAUUGAAAUGAAAUCAACCAAAUCCGAUAAAACUUGGUACUUACCCUUAGGAGUUGUCGUGAAUCCAAAAAAACCAACUAAAAUCCGUAUGAUUUGGGAUGCCGCAGCAAAAGUGGAUGGUGUUUCAUUGAAUUCUGCCUUGAUGAAAGGUCCGGAUAUGACCACAUCCUUACCAGCAGUUCUUUUCAAUUUCCGAUUAUACCGUUACGCAUUAACAGGAGACAUAAAGGAAAUGUUUCAUCGCAUAAAAAUUAGAGAAUCAGAUCGACAAUAUCAGCGCUUUUUAUGGCGAGAUUAUCCUGAACAACUUCCUCAAGUGUUCACAAUGAACGUGGCAACGUUUGGUUCAUCGUGCUCUCCGUGCUCAGCCCAGUACGUUAAGAAUAAAAACGCAAAUGAGUUCGCUAAAGAAUACGCCAAAGCCGCAGAAGCCAUUAUCAAUUUCCACUACGUGGAUGAUUAUUUGGACAGUUUUAGUGCAGUUCAGGAAGCAAUCCAAUUGGGAAAUGAAGUUAAGAUGAUUCACUCCAAAGGUGGAUUCGAAUUACGAAACUUUAUGUCGAACGAACCAGAGAUUGCUAGACGCGUGGGGGCCGAAUCAGAGGAUGGCUACAAAUCACUCGAGUUAGAGAAAGAAGGUAUUCAGUCCGUCCUAGGAGUCAAGUGGAUCCCAAGAAGCGACGAAUUCACAUACAACCUGAACUUGAAUGCUGGUCUGCAGUAUAUUCUUCAUCCCACAUAUAUUCCGACGAAAAGAGAAGUCCUACGAGUAGUAAUGAGUUUGUUUGACCCAUUGGGAGUCAUAUCAUUCUAUUUAGUACACGGUAGAAUAUUGAUGCAGGACAUUUGGGCCUCUGGAGCAGAUUGGGACGAUUAUAUCAACGAAGAACUAUUCCAUCGUUGGCGAAAGUGGGUGGAAUUACUACCUCUACUAAACUCACUCCGUAUACAGCGUUGUUAUUUUCCUGGUGCCACACAAGACACCUAUGCAUCUCUUCAAAUUCACGUAUUUGUUGACGCCAGUGAAUCGGCAUACUCGUCUGCAAUUUAUUUUCGAAUCGAAGACAGAAAUGGUCCUUCAAUGGCAUUGGUAGCAGCGAAAUCAAAGGUGGCCCCUUUAAAAAUGUUGACAAUUCCACGACUUGAGUUGCAGGCGGCUGUUUUAGGAUCGAAGCUUUUGCAUAACGUACAAUCUAUGCAUCCCGUGAGCGUUGGAAAGCGAUUUCUCUGGACGGACUCAUUGACAGUGCUAGCGUGGUUACGUUCAGACCCUCGCAAAUACAGCCAGUACAUCGGGUUUAGAGUCGGCGAGAUCCUUUCAAUGACAGAGCUACGAGAAUGGAGAUAUGUUCCAAGCAAAAUGAAUGUUGCGGACGACGCAACGAAGUGGGGAUCAGGACCUGAAAUAAAAGCAAGUACGAGAUGGUUCGUUGGGGCAGAAUUCGUAUUACUACCUGAAUCAAGCUGGCCGCCACUGCCGGAGUCUUUAACUACUACGAAAGAAGAACUACGAAGCUGCAGCGUACACAGCUUACCAAAUAUACCGUUUCUAAAUGUGGAUCGUUUUAGUCGAUGGGAAAAACUUUUACGCACGCAAGCUUUCAUUCAUCGCUUUGUUAACAAUCUGAAAUGCGUGCGCGCAAGGAAACCAAGAGAAACAGGUAUACUUACUCAGCGAGAGUUAGUUGAAGCCGAGAGGUCAUUGUGGAAACAGGCCCAACAAGAGUUCUACUCUAUGGAGAUUAGAAUCUUACAAAAAACUUGUGGACCGCCUUUGGGACAUCACCUUACAGUGUCUAAAUCGAGCUCAAUGUACAAACACUGGCCAUUUAUGGAUGAAUACGGAGUCAUUCGUAAACGAGGACGAAUCACCGCACCGUGGAUACCAUACGAAGCUAAAUACCCAGCAAUUCUCCCACGUCAUCAUAAAGUUACUUUCCUUAUUACAGACUCGUUUCAUCGCCGCUUCCGUCACGCCAACCAAGAGACUAUUGUGAACGAAAUGAGACAAAGAUUCGAAAUAUUCAAACUUCGUUCGCUAGUGGCGCGAGUUUCGCGAAACUGUGCAUGGUGUAAGAUUUAUGCAGUUAAACCAAACUCGCCUCCAAUGGCUCCCUUGCCCAGGGCACGGUUAACACCAUUCAUCAGGCCAUUUACGUUUGUAGGCCUUGACUAUUUCGGUCCAGUCUUAGUGAAAGUUGGCCGAAGUAACGUAAAACGGUGGGUGGCUCUGUUCACCUGCUUGACCAUCCGAGCGAUUCAUAUGGAAGUUGUCCACUGUCUUUCAACGAAUUCAUGUGUAAUGGCUAUUCGACGCUUUGUGUCUCGAAGAGGAGCACCUGCAGAAAUAUUUAGCGAUAAUGGAACUAACUUCCAUGGUGCUAACAAACAACUGGAGAAAGAAAUACGAGAACGUUCUAAAACAUUAGCAGCAAUAUUUACAAACACUACGACACGGUGGAACUUCAACCCACCCAGUGCCCCUCACAUGGGGGGUGUCUGGGAACGAAUGGUACGCUCAGUGAAAGUAGCGGUUGGAACAAUCUUAGAAGCCCCACGUAAACCAGAUGAUGAGACUUUGGAGACAAUAAUAAUCGAAGCAGAAGCUAUGAUCAAUACACGGCCAUUGACAUAUAUUCCACUGCAGUCAGCUGACGAAGAAUCAUUAACACCGAAUCACUUCCUGCUGGGAUGCUCUAGCGGAGUUAAACAGCUACCGACAUCUUUCAUCGAUUCUAAAAUGAUUCUUCGAAACAGUUGGAAACUGGCACAACACAUUAUCGACGGAUUCUGGAGAAGAUGGCUUAAAGAAUACUUACCAGUAAUAUCAAGACGAUCAAAAUGGUUCGAGAAUAUCAAAGAUGUGGAAGUAGGAGACUUGGUGUUGGUCGUUGAUGGAGCGGUAAGGAACCAGUGGACCCGAGGAAGAGUAGAGAAAGUAGUAACAGGUUCGGAUGGCAGGGUUCGUCAAGCGUGGGUGCGAACCACAAGUGGAGUGCUACGACGGCCUGUGGUAAAGCUAGCGGUACUUGAUGUGUUGCCAGAAGCUGAGCUAGACCGAACACCCACUAAUGAAUCACGGGUGGGAGGAUGUGACGGCGAGUAUCCCUCGUCAGCAGAAAUCACUGAUCGUGAAGAGUGAAGUCUACAUCGGUCAUCGGAGUGAUAAACAGACAGGUGACAGAUCGGAAAAGAAUAGGAACGAAAGAGAGAAAAAAAAGCGUGCCUGAUUUGAGACGAUAGUGGUGUUGAAAUAUAAAACUUAUUACUAGUUAAAAUAAAACUGAACUAACCUACAUACUAGUUAAAAUUGAAUUAUUGUAACUUAAUCUAACCAUAAUAUUAAUCAUAUGGUCGACAGAGGAAUAAGUGGUGAAGAAAAACUGAAAAAUUUGUAAGUUCAAUGAAAUCAAAAUUAUAAUUUUGUAAUAUGAGUAUAAAUUAUAGCUAAAGCGUUCACACAACUUGGAUAGUGUCGUGUUUAAGGACGUCUGAGAAAUUCCGGUAACAAUGGGUAUAUUCUCAUUUAGUACUAAAUCCGCCUCGUAUCCAACAAUGGGAGAAGCGAAACUUUUUUGAAAAACUUUUGAAAAUUGUCGUUUGAUAUGUUGAACAACUUGCUCUACGGAUUGUAUUUGGGAAAUGUUAUUAACCCUUUCUGAAUUACAAAAAACACCUUUUUUAUUCAGGAAAGAAUACAUCCAUCCAAUCUCUCCCCAACAGCGGCGUUAAAUUAUAAUUAUUACCCAUAGGCUCAUCUAGAACGACCAUUGUUAGGUUCUUUUUUAUUUGAUUAAUGUCCACUAAUACCUCAGCUUCACCCAACACACUUAACCUACUCUCAUUGACUACCAAUAGCUUUCUAUUACUUCUAUAUAAUGGUACUGAUACAUAAAAUAACCGACGAAACAUUCAUUUACCAAUAAUGGACACAGCUGAUCCCGAAUCAACUUCCAUCUGAACCUCCACCUUUUCGAUUAAAAUAUUAACAAAACAUGAACUACUAAUCUCUCUUUUACCGUUCCAACUUGUGAUUGAGAUACUGUGCCACUAUUAUUAUUUUUUCUACGCUAGCUAAUGUUAACUGUUCUUCCUUCAAGAGUUGCGAUUGCAGGUUUUUAUCAUACACACCAACAAGAAUUCUAUCUCGUAUAGCCUUAUCUUUAUAAUCUCCAAAAUCACACAUCGAUGCCAUAAGUUUCAAACCCAGAAUAAAGUUUUCUGUCGUCUCACUGGCAGCUUGAAUACGAGUAUGAAAUUUAUAACAUUGUAUAACAUCUGAGUCCACCUUAUCGAAACGAGAUUUUAACUUAGAUAUUAUAUCAUUGUAAGUCAAAUCCGAUAAGUUUUGACCUGGAUAUAGUAAUUUCAAUUCUGUGAAAACCGUCGGACCACUCAGGGUGAUAAACAUGGAUCUUUUACGUUCAUCGGGUUUCUCAUUGAACUCAAAGAAGUGUUCAAAAGGCUCAGAAUAUUCACUAAAAGAUUAACCUGGCACGUAAGGUUCCAUGGUUCCAAUAAUGUUGGCACUGGUACUCAUUCUCUCUGUAUGAGUGGUUACUCACUUUAUCAAUAUGAAACUGUAAAUAUUUCGCAUUCUCCAAACUCUUGUUCUCACCACUCUUGUAACAAUGCUCUCUCGCCCACUCAAUCUCCUGUGAUAGUUACACUGAUGCUCAAAUCACCAACUGCUCGAAUGUUCUCACUUGAUAAUAUAUCUCACCACAGAUGCACCAUAAAAGGAUACUAACUCGUUGAUACUAUGGAAUUCAAAUUUCCCAAUCCAAUCAAAAUAAGGGCAACAGAAAAAACACAAGACUAGUUGAUACUUUUAUACACAAUGAAAAGUUUGGUUUGCUCUCUUUUGUCACAGCACAAUGGCUGACUCUUCAAAAUGGCUAAUAACACCAAAAUGUAUCACUC
RNA transcript from Malaya genurostris, 8129 nucleotides. It is a transcript of the gene named nuclear factor related to kappa-B-binding protein, with no coding region annotated. NCBI's taxonomy places the organism in Eukaryota, Metazoa, Arthropoda, Insecta, Diptera, Culicidae. The record is from RefSeq and is a predicted model, not a curated record. The transcript is spliced from 2 exons.